This 882-nucleotide ribosomal RNA is filed under the name Arthrobacter sp. MIDF11. RNAcentral describes it as "bacterial SSU rRNA". It matches the Rfam family "Bacterial small subunit ribosomal RNA", at positions 95 to 988 of the family's 1533-position model. Lineage: Bacteria; Bacillati; Actinomycetota; Actinomycetes; Micrococcales; Micrococcaceae. The record is from RNAcentral.
GUGGCGAACGGGUGAGUAACACGUGAGUAACCUGCCCUUAACUCUGGGAUAAGCCUGGGAAACUGGGUCUAAUACCGGAUAUGACUCCUCAUCGCAUGGUGGGGGGUGGAAAGCUUUUUUGUGGUUUUGGAUGGACUCGCGGCCUAUCAGCUUGUUGGUGAGGUAAUGGCUCACCAAGGCGACGACGGGUAGCCGGCCUGAGAGGGUGACCGGCCACACUGGGACUGAGACACGGCCCAGACUCCUACGGGAGGCAGCAGUGGGGAAUAUUGCACAAUGGGCGCAAGCCUGAUGCAGCGACGCCGCGUGAGGGAUGACGGCCUUCGGGUUGUAAACCUCUUUCAGUAGGGAAGAAGCGAAAGUGACGGUACCUGCAGAAGAAGCGCCGGCUAACUACGUGCCAGCAGCCGCGGUAAUACGUAGGGCGCAAGCGUUAUCCGGAAUUAUUGGGCGUAAAGAGCUCGUAGGCGGUUUGUCGCGUCUGCCGUGAAAGUCCGGGGCUCAACUCCGGAUCUGCGGUGGGUACGGGCAGACUAGAGUGAUGUAGGGGAGACUGGAAUUCCUGGUGUAGCGGUGAAAUGCGCAGAUAUCAGGAGGAACACCGAUGGCGAAGGCAGGUCUCUGGGCAUUAACUGACGCUGAGGAGCGAAAGCAUGGGGAGCGAACAGGAUUAGAUACCCUGGUAGUCCAUGCCGUAAACGUUGGGCACUAGGUGUGGGGGACAUUCCACGUUCUCCGUACCGUAGCUAACGCAUUAAGUGCCCCGCCUGGGGAGUACGGCCGCAAGGCUAAAACUCAAAGGAAUUGANGGGGCCCGCACAAGCGGCGGANCAUGCGGAUUAAUUCGAUGCAACGCGAAGAACCUUACCAAGGCUUGACAUG